UUUCCGUAGGUGAACCUGCGGAAGGAUCAUUAUCAUGUAAUUCAGUCCCCUUGGCUGUGUUAUAUAUAUACCCACUCUGUGUACCUUCUCCUGUUGCUUCCGCUGGGUGUGUAAUUCGCCCGGCGGAAGGGUAAAAAUAACCUCUGAGUAUUGAUGAAAUCUCUGUCUGAACCGAAUAGAAAGAAAAAUGUUAGAACUUUCAGCAACGGAUCUCUUGGUUCUC
Molecule: unclassified non-coding RNA, 223 nt
Filed under: plant metagenome
Description: partial contains small subunit ribosomal RNA, internal transcribed spacer 1, and 5.8S ribosomal RNA
Source: RNAcentral